AUUGAACGCUGGCGGCAGGCCUAACACAUGCAAGUCGAGCGGAUGAAGGGAGCUUGCUCCUGGAUUCAGCGGCGGACGGGUGAGUAAUGCCUAUGAAUCUGCCUGGUAGUGGGGGAUAACGUCCGGAAACGGGCGCUAAUACCGCAUACGUCCUGAGGGAGAAAGUGGGGGAUCUUCGGACCUCACGCUAUCAGAUGAGCCUAGGUCGGAUUAGCUAGUUGGUGGGGUAAAGGCCUACCAAGGCGACGAUCCGUAACUGGUCUGAGAGGAUGAUCAGUCACGCUGGAACUGAGACACGGUCCAGACUCCUACGGGAGGCAGCAGUGGGGAAUAUUGGACAAUGGGCGAAAGCCUGAUCCAGCCAUGCCGCGUGUGUGAAGAAGGUCUUCGGAUUGUAAAGCACUUCAAGUUGGGAGGAAGGGCAGUAAGUUAAUACCUUGCUGUUUUGACGUUACCAACAGAAUAAGCACCGGCUAACUUCGUG
RNAcentral lists this ribosomal RNA (484 nucleotides) under uncultured bacterium. RNAcentral's name for it is "partial 16S ribosomal RNA". It matches the Rfam family "Bacterial small subunit ribosomal RNA", at positions 30 to 507 of the family's 1533-position model. The record is from RNAcentral.